UGGGGAAUUUUGGACAAUGGGCGAAAGCCUGAUCCAGCCAUGCCGCGUGAGUGAGGAAGGCCUUCGGGUUGUAAAGCUCUUUUAGUCGGAAAGAAAAGAUCGUAAAUAAUACUUGCGAUUAAUGACGGUACCGACAGAAAAAGCACCGGCUAACUACGUGCCAGCAGCCGCGGUAAUACGUAGGGUGCUAGCGUUAAUCGGAAUUACUGGGCGUAAAGGGUGCGCAGGCGGUUUUGUAAGUCAGAUGUGAAAUCCCCGGGCUUAACCUGGGAAUUGCGUUUGAAACUAUAAGACUAGAGUGCAAGAGAGGGGAGUGGAAUUCCAUGUGUAGCAGUGAAAUGCGUAGAGAUGUGGAAGAACACCGAUGGCGAAGGCAGCUCCCUGGAUUGACACUGACGCUCAUGCACGAAAGCGUGGGGAGCAAACA
Molecule: ribosomal RNA, 427 nt
Filed under: uncultured beta proteobacterium
Lineage: Bacteria; Pseudomonadati; Pseudomonadota; Betaproteobacteria
Description: bacterial SSU rRNA
Rfam family: Bacterial small subunit ribosomal RNA
Source: RNAcentral